Lepidothrix coronata (blue-crowned manakin) is the source of this 689-nucleotide long non-coding RNA. RefSeq lists it as uncharacterized. NCBI's taxonomy places the organism in Eukaryota, Metazoa, Chordata, Aves, Passeriformes, Pipridae. The record is from RefSeq and is a predicted model, not a curated record. The transcript is spliced from 3 exons.
CCCUGCUUUUCUUUCAGGAUCCUUUCGGUGAAAAGCGAGGCCACUUUGACUACCAGUCCCUGCUGGUGCGUUUGCAGGGGAUCCGGCAGAAGGUGCAGGAGAAGCACCAGCAGGAGCCCCCGGAGCUGGACUCUGAGAGCAGCUCCUCCGAGACAGAGACGGACCCGCAGGGCUGCUCCAAAGCUUAGAGCGGGGGCUGCUCUGCCCACAGCCCCGACAGACUCCACACCCCCCCACUGCCAGAGCAGGAACACGGGGACCCCCUGCCUCCCUCCCUGCUCUGGGGAAACGCUGACUGAGGGGACUCCACGCUCGCCCAAGCCCAGCUGGUGCCAGGCUCCUCCCGAAGUUUGUUUUGGCAGAAUGGAGCCUGUGGUGAUUCCUUAGAGGAACAACAACCAACCAACCAACAACUCCUUCCCAGAGCAGAGCUACACAAGAGCUUCCCCACUUCUUUAGCCAGAAUCCCAUUUGCAUCCUUUAAGACUCCAGAUAAUUUUCCUCUUGCUGUGACAUUUAGUUUCCAGUAGCAAGUGGCAUUUCCACCCCCAGCCAGGGAGCAAAUCCAGAGGUGAUAUGCAAAGAACCUCCCGAGGAUUCUAGACAGGCACAGAACAGGGAGCAGUCAAGGAAUUGCCUCCUUGGCUUCCUCUGGAGUGAUUUCCUGAGAGUACAGCUCUGUAAAGAGA